RNAcentral lists this ribosomal RNA (468 nucleotides) under uncultured bacterium. RNAcentral describes it as "partial 16S ribosomal RNA". It matches the Rfam family "Bacterial small subunit ribosomal RNA", at positions 28 to 507 of the family's 1533-position model. The record is from RNAcentral.
GACGAACGCUGGCGGCGUGCUUAACACAUGCAAGUCGAACGGAAAGGCCCUGCUUUUGUGGGGUGCUCGAGUGGCGAACGGGUGAGUAACACGUGAGUAACCUGCCCUUGACUUUGGGAUAACUUCAGGAAACUGGGGCUAAUACCGGAUAUGAGCCCCUGCUGCAUGGUGGGGGUUGGAAAGUUUCGGCGGUUGGGGAUGGACUCGCGGCUUAUCAGCUUGUUGGUGGGGUAGUGGCUUACCAAGGCUUUGACGGGUAGCCGGCCUGAGAGGGUGACCGGCCACAUUGGGACUGAGAUACGGCCCAGACUCCUACGGGAGGCAGCAGUGGGGAAUAUUGCACAAUGGGCGGAAGCCUGAUGCAGCAACGCCGCGUGCGGGAUGACGGCCUUCGGGUUGUAAACCGCUUUCGCCUGUGACGAAGCGUGAGUGACGGUAAUGGGUAAAGAAGCACCGGCUAACUACGUG